This 3094-nucleotide long non-coding RNA is filed under the name Hordeum vulgare. RNAcentral describes it as "long non-coding RNA (HVUL_LNC010215)". Lineage: Eukaryota; Viridiplantae; Streptophyta; Magnoliopsida; Poales; Poaceae. The record is from RNAcentral.
GUUAACGGCGUUUUUAGACGUGGGUGGGCAAUUAACGCUAACGAAAUCUGGCUAGUUUCGUUAACAACAUUUUUAGACCCUUGAUUAAGUGAUUAAACGGCUGAGAUGGUGAGUUGGAUGUGCCCUCUCGUGCUUUUAUUAGCAGAGAUAAUUGCCUCGAACCAAGUUGACCCCAUUCUCCAUCUAUCCUGCCCCGUCUCUGUUCAGAGUCAUGCUCGUCGUUCCCCUCGCCGCCCCAUCUCUCUCCCCCAGCCUGUAUCCUGCCCUGCCUCUAGGGCCUCCGCUCCAUCUAGCUGGUACGCCGUACCGCUCGACGGCCUCGCGGCGACGGCCGCACAACCUUCCAGCCACAACUUCACAAACCCAAGUUCGUUCUCAUCUUCACGAGGAGGCCCUAUGCUCCACAUGCAUCCGUGGACUGCGGUCUACCUCGUCGGAACACCAUCUCAGUUCGGGAAUGAAGCCAUCACCACUGAACUACUACUGGACUAGCCCACCCCAUCCCCAUCUGGCCUAGGGUUUUUUAAAGUCAUCUCACUUGAUACAUGGUUCAAUUCCUGCAUUGCUAUUUAAUUCUCGCGUAAUUGUGUUAUGAGAUUUGUGUGAUCUCUCUAUGUCAGCACUUCCAUUUUCGUUCCAUGUCAGUGGGCGUGAAAUUGUGUCCUGCAUUCUUAUUCGAUCGCUAAAUCAUCCAUAAUUAUCCGUGAGAUAGGUAUGUACAUUGUACAAAUAUGCCUCCCUGUUGGUGACAAUACUAGUUUUGUUUUAUUUGCAAAUUUCCUCCUUUCAAUUAUAUAGCACUAUUUAUGUAACCAGUCCCAUGUUUUCGUGCUUCUAAAAUUAAUACUACUGCUUCGUGGGGCUGGACAAGUGCUCCCAUGAAUCAACAACAAAUCCUUUAAAUUUGCAUGUUGACGAUGCAAAAGAUGCACCCUCACAAUUGCUGCUGCCGCAAGCUUAGCUUGUUUCAUUGUCAAUGUUUUAUUCUACGCUUCCAACCAAGAUGAGUAAUGUUCAGUUGACAUAUUUUCAUCCUUCCUAUAUUUUAUUUAAAUAACAUGCUUCGUACAAUUUAUCUUAUUCUGUUUAGCAAAUAAGCUUCUUACUCAUAAUGCCUUGUUUGCAUACAAGUUUAGCACACAUCUUCAUGUCUCAGUUUAUUCCGUCAAUUCACAUAUCUUCAGAUUUGCUGACAUACUACAAUUUUUAUGUUUUCAGUGGAGCCACAAUAAUGAAGCAGGCGAUAUGCUCAAGGGUACGCACCCUGCCUCUGAUACCCCCAUCCUCCGCGCCACCCGUGUCCUCUCCGACAAUGACACCAUGAUUCGAUCCUGUAUACACUUUGCUCCUAGGCCAGUUGCACCGCCCCCACUCCUCGAUGCACCCGCCGAAAUCUGGCCGCAAACCGUGCAUCCCCAUGUUGGCCUUAGUCUUAGUUUGUUUUGAUGUCCAAUGUUCUAUGCUUCCACUUAAGAUGAGUCAUAUUGAGAUACUGUAUGUUCAUGCUUCCUUCAAUUGUCUUUGCCAUUGUUAUCACCACUGAACAUGUCAUGCUUCCAUAUUAUAUUACAUAUGUUUCUUUGUUCUUUUUGAAAACAGGCUUUCACCCCGUUUUAUAUAUAAAGCAACAACCAUACAGAGUACACGGUUGAACGAUACAAGGAGAUGAGGUGACCCCAUACGCGACCGAUCCCAAGAUAUCCGGAUCACGCAGAACGCACGUGACUACACAAUCGAAAUAAAGUACAUGAUGGACUAAAGCAACACCGCACUAAGCCCUAUAACACCUAAGCUCCACGCCAAUGCCUCCAGGAGGGAUAAUGGCGCUAGGCGUCGCCGUUGCCGAGUCUACAACAGACAGAGGUUUGUUCUAGUUAGUUGGCUUCCAGUUUUUGGUUUUUAAUUUUUCUAAUUUACCUGCAUUGUUGUUACGUAAGAAUUAUAUUCUUCACUACUAAUGUACAAUGCAAGUACUAUCAAAUGUUGCUUCCUACCUUGGAUACUUAUGGAUCAUGCCUAACUGAUAUAUGCUUCAAGCAGAGUUGUGCUAGCUUCAAGGAAGAUAAGUGUUGGCGAGACAUGUAUAUAUGGCGAAUUCAAGCACUAACAGGCAUGAAGACACUUGAAUCCAUCUCACAAUGAAGACUACCACACCCCAGAUGAAGGGAAGUAGGUCACUAGUCUCUAGGAAACAUACAGUAUGACUUACGAAGCAUUGUACUACUGGCGACUUCAAGGAAUUAUAUUGUAUGAAUGGAUGAAGAAUGAAAUCAAAUUCAUGAAUUUAGGAAACAUCACACAGUUGAAGACUUGAAAUAAAUAUAAUGUAUGAAUUGACGAAGGCUGGAAACACAUUUAUGUUACGUUGGAAGCAGAAGAGUUUUGCGAUGGAAAACAUAAACUUUUGAUGGAACGUGGGUGGAAGUAAAAAAAAUCUUGGGUUUAAAACCUAAUAAAAUAUAUAAGGAACCCACAUUUUCCCAUGUGGAAAAAACAAUUCUUGGAUGCAAGAUUUUGUUUUAUUGAAGUAAAGUUCUUGGACAACUGUUUUUAGGUCGAACGAAACCGUGAUUUCAAUAGAAGCAAAUUUUGCGUUGAUGGAAGCAAAAUUUAUUGUGUUGGGAAAAAAAGUUGAGUGAACUUUACUAGCAACCAAAAAACAUUGGAUGAUUUUUUCAAAAAAUAAACAAGAAUGAAUUUUUAUUUUUACAGGUGAAGAAUGUAAUUUAACUAGUUUCAAAAUUUAAUUGAGUGAUGAAAGGUGAAGCAGAAUGGUCAACUCGUUUUUGAGAUGCAAUGAUACCAAAUGUGAAUUGACAGAUAAGCACACAAUAAAUGGAGAGUGUUAUGUAUAAAACCUACCAAAUAAGCAAUACCCUUCUUCAACAGGAUCCAGCAUCCAUUAGACACUAAUCAUACGGCCAUGACCUAGUAUGAUGGGAUCCUAGGGAUCAAUAGUCUGAUCCCUAGUGGUUCCUUACAAGAAAUCAGUAGUCUGCUUCCUAACACCUCCCCUUUUAUAUGCAUCUACGGCGGCAGUGAAGCCGUAUGGAUUUGACUGGACCCUUCGAGGCUCGAGUUAGAAAAAAUCGAU